RNAcentral lists this ribosomal RNA (468 nucleotides) under uncultured bacterium. Its description in RNAcentral is "partial 16S ribosomal RNA". It matches the Rfam family "Bacterial small subunit ribosomal RNA", at positions 28 to 507 of the family's 1533-position model. The record is from RNAcentral.
GACGAACGCUGGCGGCGUGCUUAACACAUGCAAGUCGAACGGAAAGGCCCUGCUUUUGUGGGGUGCUCGAGUGGCGAACGGGUGAGUAACACGUGAGUAACCUGCCCUUGACUUUGGGAUAACUUCAGGAAACUGGGGCUAAUACCGGAUAGGAGCUCCUGCUGCAUGGUGGGGGUUGGAAAGUUUCGGCGGUUGGGGAUGGACUCGCGGCUUAUCAGCUUGUUGGUGGGGUAGUGGCUUACCAAGGCUUUGACGGGGAGCCGGCCUGGGAGGGUGACCGGUGAGACAGGGGCCAGUAUCCUACCGGGGGUAGCAGGAGGGGAGAGUGCGGGGUGGGGGGAAGCAGGGGCCAGCGACUGAGCGAGAGGCGCCGAGUGCGUGAGGGUGGAAAUCGGGGUAGUGAGCGAAAAAGCCCGCGACGAAUGGGACAUGACGGUAUCGGAAAAAGAAGCACCGGCUAACUACGUG